RNAcentral lists this ribosomal RNA (203 nucleotides) under uncultured bacterium. RNAcentral describes it as "partial 16S ribosomal RNA". It matches the Rfam family "Bacterial small subunit ribosomal RNA", at positions 153 to 353 of the family's 1533-position model. The record is from RNAcentral.
AAAGGUAGUGCUAAUACGGGAUAACAUAAGAAAUUCGCAUGUUUUUCUUUAUCAAAGCUCCGGCGGUACAGGAUGGACCCGCGUCUGAUUAGCUAGUUGGUGAGGUAACGGCUCACCAAGGCGACGAUCAGUAGCCGACCUGAGAGGGUGAUCGGCCACAUUGGAACUGAGACACGGUCCAAACUCCUACGGGAGGCAGCAUG